Molecule: long non-coding RNA, 2078 nt
Filed under: Xyrichtys novacula (pearly razorfish)
Lineage: Eukaryota; Metazoa; Chordata; Actinopteri; Labriformes; Labridae
Source: RNAcentral
CCUUUAAAUCUCGCCUUUGGGGAUGCAGGUACUUUUUGGUGGUGCAUGAUUCACUGUUUUCAAUCGUGAGAACUGAGUUCCAGUCAUAAACAACAGCUCUAAAUAUAUCAAACCAGCUUUGUUUGUGUCUGUUGGCCCCAGCUGACUGCCAAAUUUGGAGAGACUGAACUCCAACUUCUCUAAGUCCUGCAAACCCGAGGAAAAUCUCUCAAACUGUGGUGAAAACAAACACAACUGUGCCUUGUGUGAUCAGGUAUUAAAAGUCACUUCAUCCUAAACUAUUGUUGUCUUCUGCUUUCCCUUUAUUGUGCACACAGGUGUGUUUGUAGAUGACCUUAGUACACGUGUAUUUCAAGUGUGUGGCUGUGAACAAGCGGUGCAUGCUCAAGAAGCAAUGGCAAUAAUUUGGGAGCUAAUGAAGUGUGAUUGAUUGGGAGUGAUUGUUUUAUUUAAAUUCGAAGAUAAUUUAAUUGUUCAAGGUGACUUUGGUCCGAAGAUGAAGGCGUACUCUGCUAAUUGAAGGCUUUUCACGAUGGGCUUCUUAGCGCUGUUCAGAGCCCCAGAGAGAAAGGCUUCUCAGAAUUAAAUCUUCUAACAGCAGUCUCUUUAUUUAUAGUCUUGUAGCAAAGAGAGAGAAAAACAUGUUUACAAUCUCAGCAGCCUGCGCCGUAGAUGACACCCCGUUCGCUACAUUUCUGAGUGGAGUAAACAAAACAUGCACUGUCGCAGAAAACAAUCCCUGAUGGUGAAUAAUUGGUUUAAUACAUUGUGGUGGACGGUGGAGCUGUCCUUGUGUUUGUCCAGGCUGAGCUGGGUGCACCUCAUCGUCCUCAUCUCUCAGUGCCCUGCUGCUUCGCCCAAGUCACAAGAGUAGAGGACAAAAUCAAAAUAAUGAUGCCGCGUGCGCCUAACAGCACCACCAAUCUCAUCUCACGCACACAUGCACACACGUGGUGAUGCAUAACCUCCAUUUAAAGCAAUUUGUUGUUGGAGAAUUGACAACAACUUCCAUGUGUGCCGUGAAAACGGGAAAGUUUCAUCAAAGUGGCUGAUCAUUAAAAGUGAAUAAUUUAAGAACCAGGAAGUACACUUGGAGCUGUGCUGCCCUUAUUUACCCAUCCUAUUAAUACACCCUCAUCUCUAUUUAAAAAAUGACCCCUGCCGUAAGACGGAGAGCCUGCCGGCUGCUUGUGUCACCUCGCCCAGCUCCCACCUAGGACUGAUGAAGUUUUAAAUUAUGUCCUCAUAAUUAAAAAGGUUCACAGUGGCGGUUUUUGUCCCGCAGCGUGAGCAAAAGACGGAGCUGAGGAGACGGUCAGGAAUAAAUCAAGAGUGCUGGAGGUCAGAGCGACCGCAGAAUAGUAGCACCUCCAUGAUAGAUACCCCCUUGUUAAGACAGGCUUAAAUGAAGCAGAAAGAUGUGUGCUGAAGAUAAUGACUGUUAUUAUGGAAGUGUUGAGUGAGCCAAGUGGGGAGAUGCACUUGAUGUCAAUGAGCUGAGAGAUUUUAGAAAGACCUGCUUAACACGCAGCUUCCUGCUGCAGGAAGUACAAAGCGUGAUGAUGGGGGAGAGUAAGUGGAACCUCCCACACUCUCCCUCCCUUAGCUCAGCUUAGAAGUCGGCCUUAAUUAGGACAAUGACAAUAUGUCCGAUUCAUUUAGCUAAGGUCUAAGUUUCAGGAGUAAACAGAAGUAAAAAGUUUUACACCAAAAGACAAAACUUUAAAGAGCUUUAACUUUUCAAACAUGGGACUGUGGUUGGUCAUGUUUGUCCACUUCAACUAUAAAAGUAGUUUUGUAGUCAAAUAAUAAAACAUGUUAGAGUUUCUUUAAAUGUGGUCUUUUUUUUCUAACCCUCCUCCUGUGUUAGGGUCUGCACCGACCCGUUUCUGAUUUUAAAUGCUUAAAGAACCACUUAAAUUAGUUUUUUUACAUCAAGACUUUUCGACUUUGUCAGGAACCUCUAUUUCAACAAAAAAAAGAAAAAAGAAAAAAAUUACAUUGACUUAAUUAUAAAAUGCUCUUAUUAAAAUUAUGGCACUUGUGUUAGGGUCGCUGUUGACCUUAGGGAAUUCUCA